RNAcentral lists this ribosomal RNA (347 nucleotides) under uncultured bacterium. Its description in RNAcentral is "partial 16S ribosomal RNA". It matches the Rfam family "Bacterial small subunit ribosomal RNA", at positions 338 to 696 of the family's 1533-position model. The record is from RNAcentral.
CCUACGGGUGGCAGCAGUCGAGAAUCAUUCACAAUGGGGGAAAUCCUGAUGGUGCGACGCCGCGUGGAGGACUGCAGGUCUUCGGAUUGUAAACCCCUGUCAUGUGGGAGCAAAUUACAAAGAUAGUACCACAAGAGGAAGAGACGGCUAACUCUGUGCCAGCAGCCGCGGUAAUACAGAGGUCUCAAGCGUUGUUCGGAAUCACUGGGCGUAAAGCGUGCGUAGGCUGUUUUGUAAGUCGUGUGUGAAAGGUGCGGGCUCAACCCGCGGACGGCACAUGAUACUGCGAGACUAGAGUAAUGGAGGGGGAACCGGAAUGCGCGGUGUAGCAGUGAAAUGCGUAGAUA